RNAcentral lists this ribosomal RNA (250 nucleotides) under uncultured prokaryote. RNAcentral's name for it is "partial 16S ribosomal RNA". It matches the Rfam family "Bacterial small subunit ribosomal RNA", at positions 524 to 773 of the family's 1533-position model. The record is from RNAcentral.
UACGUAGGGGGCAAGCGUUGUCCGGAAUGACUGGGCGUAAAGGGAGCGUAGGUGGUUUGGUAAGUCAAAUGUGAAAGCCCGUAGCUUAACUACGGAAAUGCAUUUGAUACUGCUAAGCUUGAGUGCAGGAGAGGUAAGUAGAAUUCCUAGUGUAGCGGUGGAAUGCGUAGAUAUUAGGAGGAAUACCGGAGGCGAAGGCGGCUUACUGGAAUGUAACUGACACUGAGGCUCGAAAGCGUGGGGAGCAAAC